UAGGGGGCAAGCGUUAUCCGGAAUUACUGGGUGUAAAGGGAGCGUAGGCGGCACGUCAAGCCAGAUGUGAAAGCCCGGGGCUUAACCCCGUGGAUUGCAUUUGGAACUGGCGAGCUAGAGUACAGGAGAGGAAAGCGGAAUUCCUAGUGUAGCGGUGAAAUGCGUAGAUAUUAGGAAGAACACCAGUGGCGAAGGCGGCUUUCUGGACUGAAACUGACGCUGAGGCUCGAAAGCGUGGGGAGCAA
Molecule: ribosomal RNA, 245 nt
Filed under: uncultured bacterium
Lineage: Bacteria
Description: partial 16S ribosomal RNA
Rfam family: Bacterial small subunit ribosomal RNA
Source: RNAcentral